This is a long non-coding RNA of Capsicum annuum, 518 nucleotides long. RefSeq lists it as uncharacterized. Lineage: Eukaryota; Viridiplantae; Streptophyta; Magnoliopsida; Solanales; Solanaceae. The transcript has 2 exons. The record is from RefSeq and is a predicted model, not a curated record.
CAAUAAGUCAAUUUUGUUGUUUGCUUAUCGGUUAAGAUUUUCAAUUAUUUACCGUGGUCAUUCUUGCAAAUCCAUUCAUUCAGAUGUCAGAACCACGAGAUUGGGCCUAAGAACUAAAUCCAAACCACAUUUCUCAAGUCUCUAGGGUUUCCUAUAUAAUCCACCUAAAACCCUAGUAUCAUUUUCCUCCCAUUUAGUGCCGCAUCUUUUAUUUGACAGAUUUGCUCUGACAAGUAAAGAAGGCUCUUUGAUUAUCACCAAUUCAGAAUGAGAGCUAAGUGGAAGAAGAAGCGUAUGAGGAGAUUGAAGAGGAAGCGCCGAAAGAUGAGGCAGAGAUCUAAGUAGAACCGCAUUCUGCAGUUCUCAAUGGUCUAUCUAUGCUAUUGUCGUCUUUAGGCUUAUGCUGUUUAAGUUUUAGUUUGAAAGUUCCUUAACAUUGACUGGUGAUUUUGUCUUAAUGGCACUGUAUUUAGAUUUCCAAUAUCCGUUUUUUGGUUAUACAUUUAUGCUUUUUAUUA